RNAcentral lists this ribosomal RNA (293 nucleotides) under uncultured bacterium. RNAcentral describes it as "partial 16S ribosomal RNA". It matches the Rfam family "Archaeal small subunit ribosomal RNA", at positions 455 to 747 of the family's 1478-position model. The record is from RNAcentral.
GUGCCAGCCGCCGCGGUAAUACCGGCAGCCCGAGUGAUGGCCGAUCUUAUUGGGCCUAAAGCGUCCGUAGCUGGCCGCGCAAGUCCAUCGGAAAAUCCACCCGCCCAACGGGUGGGCGUCCGGUGGAAACUGUGUGGCUUGGGACCGGAAGGCGCGACGGGUACGUCCGGGGUAGGAGUGAAAUCCCAUAAUCCCGCACGGACCACCGAUGGCGAAAGCACUUCGAGAAAACGGAUCCGACAGUGAGGGACGAAAGCUAAGAUCGCGAACCGGAUUAGAAACCCCGGUAGUCC